Molecule: ribosomal RNA, 439 nt
Filed under: uncultured bacterium
Lineage: Bacteria
Description: partial 16S ribosomal RNA
Rfam family: Bacterial small subunit ribosomal RNA
Source: RNAcentral
CUACGGGUGGCAGCAGUGAGGAAUAUUGCACAAUGGGGGAAACCCUGAUGCAGCAACGCCGCGUGGAGGAUGACGCAUUUCGGUGUGUAAACUCCUUUUAUCAGAGAAGAAAAUGACGGUAUCUGAUGAAUAAGCUCCGGCUAACUCCGUGCCAGCAGCCGCGGUAAUACGGAGGGAGCAAGCGUUAUUCGGAAUCACUGGGCGUAAAGGACGCGUAGGCGGGUUUUUAAGUCAGGUGUGAAAUCCUAUGGCUCAACCAUAGAACUGCACUUGAAACUGGGGACCUAGAGUAUGGAAGGGGCAGGUGGAAUUAGUGGUGUAGGGGUAACAUCCGUAGAUAUCACUAGGAAUACCGAAAGCGAAGGCGACCUGCUGGGACAUUACUGACGCUGAGGCGUGAAAGCGUGGGGAGCAAACAGGAUUAGAUACCCCGGUAGUC